RNAcentral lists this long non-coding RNA (527 nucleotides) under Parus major (Great Tit). RNAcentral describes it as "lncRNA (ENSPMJG00000004977.1)". The record is from RNAcentral. Lineage: Eukaryota; Metazoa; Chordata; Aves; Passeriformes; Paridae.
AUGAGAUUUGCUUUUCUUCUUCUUCCGUUCUGGGGGAUGUGUCACUCUGCAGGAGCACAUGUGUGUGUCUGCUUGGAUCACAGCAACAUUUUACUGCAGAAGAUGGAGGGCUUGCCACAGCCAUCUGGAAUAUUGCUGGCUCCAGUGCUUCCAGGGGAAAAACAUGGACAAAAUGGAUUUUCCUCUGCCUGCUGGCAGAUGUCCAGGCUUUAUCCUUCAUUCAUCCCUGAGCCUGCUCUGCCCUCUCCCUGUGUCACUGAGUCCAGGGAUGCUCUGACCCAAGGCGCGACAUGGGACCGGCACGGUGAUGCCUUUGGCUGGGAAUCAGCUGCUGUCCCUGCAGCUCUGGGGGCUCCACCUCGGGGGUUUUCAUCUGCCAAGGCUCUGUGGAGAGAGCAGUGCCUAAAAUUAGACUAAACUCCGUGUCCUGCAGAGCUGGGGCUGUGCAAAGUGUGUGAAACCCUCCCUUCCCCAUUGCUCUUCCUGCUGUCUGCUUCAAAAUGGCAAGUGACUGUUCCAGCUGUGAG